This 496-nucleotide ribosomal RNA is filed under the name uncultured bacterium. RNAcentral describes it as "partial 16S ribosomal RNA". It matches the Rfam family "Bacterial small subunit ribosomal RNA", at positions 29 to 507 of the family's 1533-position model. The record is from RNAcentral.
AUGAACGCUGGCGGCGUGCCUAAUACCUGCCAGUCGAGCGAACAGACGAGGAGCUUGCUCCUCUGACGUUAGCGGCGGACGGGUGAGUAACACGUGGAUAACCUACCUAUAAGACUGGGAUAACUUCGGGAAACCGGAGCUAAUACCGGAUAAUAUAUUGAACCGCCUGGUUCAAUAGUGAAAGACGGUUUUGCUGUCACUUAUAGAUGGAUCCGCGCCGCAUUAGCUAGUUGGUAAGGUAACGGCUUACCAAGGCAACGAUGCGUAGCCGACCUGAGAGGGUGAUCGGCCACACUGGAACUGAGACACGGUCCAGACUCCUACGGGAGGCAGCAGUAGGGAAUCUUCCGCAAUGGGCGAAAGCCUGACGGAGCAACGCCGCGUGAGUGAUGAAGGUCUUCGGAUCGUAAAACUCUGUUAUUAGGGAAGAACAAAUGUGUAAGUAACUAUGCACGUCUUGACGGUACCUAAUCAGAAAGCCACGGCUAACUACGUG